UGGGGAAUUUUGGACAAUGGGCGAAAGCCUGAUCCAGCAAUGCCGCGUGUGUGAAGAAGGCCUUCGGGUUGUAAAGCACUUUUGUCCGGAAAGAAAUCCUUGGCUCUAAUACAGUCGGGGGAUGACGGUACCGGAAGAAUAAGCACCGGCUAACUACGUGCCAGCAGCCGCGGUAAUACGUAGGGUGCAAGCGUUAAUCGGAAUUACUGGGCGUAAAGCGUGCGCAGGCGGUUUGCUAAGACCGAUGUGAAAUCCCCGGGCUCAACCUGGGAACUGCAUUGGUGACUGGCAGGCUAGAGUAUGGCAGAGGGGGGUAGAAUUCCACGUGUAGCAGUGAAAUGCGUAGAGAUGUGGAGGAAUACCGAUGGCGAAGGCAGCCCCCUGGGCCAAUACUGACGCUCAUGCACGAAAGCGUGGGGAGCAAACAGGAUUAGAUACCCUGGUAGUCCACGCCCUAAACGAUGUCAACUAGUUGUUGGGGAUUCAUUUCCUAGUAACGUAGCUAACGCGUGAAGUUGAUCGCCUGGGGAGUACGGUCGCAAGAUUAAAACUUAAAUGAAUUGACGGGGUCAUAGCUGUUUCCU
Molecule: ribosomal RNA, 584 nt
Filed under: uncultured bacterium
Lineage: Bacteria
Description: partial 16S ribosomal RNA
Rfam family: Bacterial small subunit ribosomal RNA
Source: RNAcentral